Molecule: non-coding RNA, 30 nt
Filed under: Cricetulus griseus (Chinese hamster)
Lineage: Eukaryota; Metazoa; Chordata; Mammalia; Rodentia; Cricetidae
Source: RNAcentral
UCAAGACACAGGAUUGGACUCCAGCCAGAC